RNAcentral lists this ribosomal RNA (855 nucleotides) under uncultured Methanomicrobiales archaeon. Its description in RNAcentral is "bacterial SSU rRNA". It matches the Rfam family "Archaeal small subunit ribosomal RNA", at positions 41 to 903 of the family's 1478-position model. The record is from RNAcentral. Lineage: Archaea; Methanobacteriati; Methanobacteriota; Methanomicrobia; Methanomicrobiales.
UGACUAAGCCAUGCGNGUCGNGAGGUGUAAGACCUCGGCAUACUGCUCAGUAACACGUGGUUAACCUGCCCUAAGGUGGAGCAUACUCCCGGGAAACUGGGGCUAAUACUCCAUAGUGGAUGCAUCCUGGAAUGGUGCAUCCUCGAAAGAUCCGUCGCCUUAGGAUGGGACUGCGUCCGAUUAGGUUGUUGGCGGGGUAACGGCCCACCAAGCCAUUGAUCGGUACGGGUUGUGGGAGCAAGAUCCCGGAGAUGGAUUCUGAGACAUGAAUCCAGGCCCUACGGGGCGCAGCAGGCGCGCAAACUUUACAAUGCGAGCAAUCGUGAUAAGGAAACCCUGAGUGCCUGUCGAUGCAGGCUGUUCAUAUAUCUAAAUCAUAUGUGAAGAAAGGGCAGGGCAAGACCGGUGCCAGCCGCCGCGGUAAUACCGGCUGCUCGAGUGAUGGCCACUAUUACUUGGGUUUAAAGCGUCCGUAGCUGGACUGUUAGGUCCCUUGGGAAAUCUUCACGCUUAACGUGAAGGCGUCUAAGAGAUACCGGCAGUCUUGGGACUGGGAGAGGUAAACCGUACUUCGGGGGUAGGAGUGAAAUCUUGUAAUCCUCGAGGGACGACCUAUGGCGAAGGCAGUUUACCAGAACAGCUUCGACAGUGAGGGACGAAAGCUGGGGGAGCAAACGGGAUUAGAUACCCCGGUAGUCCCAGCCGUAAACAAUGUGCGUUAGGUGUGUCGGUAACCACGCGUUACUGAUGCGCCGAAGAGAAAUCGUGAAACGCACCACCUGGGAAGUACGGUCGCAAGGCUGAAACUUAAAGGAAUUGGCGGGGGAGCACCACAACAGGUGGAGCCUGCGGUUU